UACGAAGGGGGCUAGCGUUGCUCGGAAUGACUGGGCGUAAAGGGCGCGUAGGCGGUUUGUUCAGUCAGGUGUGAAAUUCCCGGGCUCAACCUGGGGGCUGCACUUGAUACGUAGGAACUGGAGUGGGGAAGAGGGUCGUGGAAUUCCCAGUGUAGAGGUGAAAUUCGUAGAUAUUGGGAAGAACACCGGUGGCGAAGGCGGCGACCUGGUCCUUGACUGACGCUGAGGCGCGAAAGCGUGGGUAGCAAACAGG
This 253-nucleotide ribosomal RNA is filed under the name uncultured bacterium. RNAcentral describes it as "partial 16S ribosomal RNA". It matches the Rfam family "Bacterial small subunit ribosomal RNA", at positions 524 to 776 of the family's 1533-position model. The record is from RNAcentral.